GGGAAACUGAAAACCCUUCUCCCAGUACGCCAUUGAGUCAAAAUUCCCAAGCUUUCUGCAUCCAAUUGAAAUCCAACUUUCUAUAUCUAAAGUCCUGUUUCUUUUUUGUUGAACUAUUUCCUUCCGGGUGCCGAGGAUCGAAGCUCUCAUGGCAUCGAAGAAGAAACAAUCUGAAGGUAUAGCUUUACUCUCGAUGUACAAUGACG
RNAcentral lists this unclassified non-coding RNA (206 nucleotides) under Hevea brasiliensis (rubber tree). The record is from RNAcentral. Lineage: Eukaryota; Viridiplantae; Streptophyta; Magnoliopsida; Malpighiales; Euphorbiaceae.